This 253-nucleotide ribosomal RNA is filed under the name uncultured bacterium. RNAcentral describes it as "partial 16S ribosomal RNA". It matches the Rfam family "Bacterial small subunit ribosomal RNA", at positions 524 to 776 of the family's 1533-position model. The record is from RNAcentral.
UACAGAGGGUGCAAGCGUUAAUCGGAAUUACUGGGCGUAAAGCGAGCGUAGGUGGCUUAAUAAGUUAGAUGUGAAAUCCCCGGGCUUAACCUGGGAACUGCAUCUAAAACUGUUUCGCUAGAGUAGGUGAGAGGGAGGUAGAAUUUCAGGUGUAGCGGUGAAAUGCGUAGAGAUCUGAAGGAAUACCGAUGGCGAAGGCAGCCUCCUGGCAUCAUACUGACACUGAGGUUCGAAAGCGUGGGUAGCAAACAGG